Molecule: ribosomal RNA, 433 nt
Filed under: uncultured bacterium
Lineage: Bacteria
Description: partial 16S ribosomal RNA
Rfam family: Bacterial small subunit ribosomal RNA
Source: RNAcentral
AACGAACGCUGGCGGCAUGCCUAACACAUGCAAGUCGAACGAGACCUUCGGGUCUAGUGGCGCUCGGGUGCGUAACGCGGGGGAACCUGCCCUUAGGUUCGGAACAACUCCCCGAAAGGUGUCCUAAUACCGGUUAAUGUCUUCGGACCAAAGAUUUAUCGCCUUUGGAUGGGCCCGCGUUGGAUUAGCCCGUUGGUAGGGUAAAAGCCUACCACGGCGACGAUCCAUAGCUGGUCUGAGAGGAGGAUCAGCCGCACUGGGACUGCGACACGGCCCAGCCUCCGAGGAAGCGCAGCAGUAGGGAGGAUAAGACGAUGGAGCAUAAUCUAGUCCAGCCACGUCGGGGGUGUGGUGAAGGCCUUAGGAUUGUAAUGCGGUCUGACCCGAGAUGUUAAUGACAGUACCGGGAGAAUAAGCUCCGGCUAACUACGUG